Molecule: ribosomal RNA, 539 nt
Filed under: uncultured delta proteobacterium
Lineage: Bacteria; Deltaproteobacteria
Description: bacterial SSU rRNA
Rfam family: Bacterial small subunit ribosomal RNA
Source: RNAcentral
GACUAGAGUUUGAUCCUGGCUCAGAGCGAACGUUAGCGGCGCGCCUAACACAUGCAAGUCGCACGAGAAAGGGCUUCGGCCCCGGUACAGUGGCGCACGGGUGAGUAACACGUGGGUAACCUUCCCCGGAGUGGUGGAUAACCUGCCGAAAGGCGGGCUAAUACAGCAUACGACCGUUGGUCUUCGGACUGGCGGUGAAAGCAGGCCUCUAUAUAUAAGCUUGCGCUCCAGGUUGGGCCCGCGGCCCAUCAGCUAGUUGGCGAGGUAAUGGCUCACCAAGGCAACGACGGGUAGCUGGUCUGAGAGGAUGGCCAGCCACACUGGAACUGAGACACGGUCCAGACUCCUACGGGAGGCAGCAGUGGGGAAUCUUGCGCAAUGGACGAAAGUCUGACGCAGCGACGCCGCGUGGGCGACGAAGGCCUUCGGGUUGUAAAGCCCUGUGGGGAGGGACGAACACCGGCUGUUCAAAUAGGACAGUCGGCUGACGGUACCUCCUUAGCAAGCACCGGCUAACUCUGUGCCAGCAGCCGCGGUAA